Molecule: unclassified non-coding RNA, 316 nt
Filed under: fungal sp.
Lineage: Eukaryota; Fungi
Description: partial internal transcribed spacer region
Rfam family: Eukaryotic small subunit ribosomal RNA (bases 1-46)
Source: RNAcentral
AAGUCGUAACAAGGUAUCCGUAGGUGAACCUGCGGAUGGAUCAUUAAGAAGCAUCCUUUUUACUAUUAUAAAGGUCUUCAACCCUUGUGGUCUAAUAGAUUUGUAUUAGUUGGGUUAAAUUGAUCAACUAAACACAUGCGUGUUUGAUUGAUUUGCCCGACAUCAUCAUACUAAACCAUAUCACUUUUAUACAUUACUGACUGAUGUUGCCUUGCGACUAUUGUGAUUCUUCAUUGAUGAUGAUGAUGAUCAAAAGUAACAAGUAAAACAAUUGUAAUCUUAAUACAACUGCUAGCAACGGAUCACUCGGCUCUCA